CCUACGGGAGGCAGCAGUGGGGAAUAUUGGACAAUGGGGGGAACCCUGAUCCAGCGACGCCGCGUGAGUGAAGAAGGAUCUCGGUAUGUAAAGCUUUAUCAGCAGGGAAGUAGAAAUGACGGUACCUGCGUAAGAAGACCCGGCUAACUACGUGCCAGCAGCCGCGGUAAUACGUAGGGGGCACGCGUUAUCCGGAAUUACUGGGUUUAACGGGAGCGUAGACGGUUAUGUAAGUCUGGAGUGAAAGGUGGGGGCUCAACCCCAGGACUGCUCUGGAAACUGGGGGACUGGAGUGCAGGAGAGGUAAGCGGAAUGCCUGGUGUAGCGGUGAAAUGCGUAGAUAUUAGGAGGAACACCAGUGGCGAAGGCAGCUCACUGGACUGUAACUGACGUUGAGGCUCGAAAGCGUGGGGAGCAAACAGGAUUAGAUACCCUUGUAGUC
RNAcentral lists this ribosomal RNA (442 nucleotides) under uncultured bacterium. Its description in RNAcentral is "partial 16S ribosomal RNA". It matches the Rfam family "Bacterial small subunit ribosomal RNA", at positions 338 to 795 of the family's 1533-position model. The record is from RNAcentral.